GUAUUAUAAAAAUACUUCAAAGACCAUUAGAUAUUGUGAAGAAUGAAGAUAAAACUAUAAAUGUAUUAAAUACUAUAACUGAUAAAACUAGGAACAAUCGAAUUGAAAAACAUAACCAUAACGAAAAAAGUGAUAAUAAUAGCACAAAUAAAGAAAUAAACAUAGAUAAAAAGGAAAAAAAAAGUAAAAAGAAGGUAACGCAUGAAACUUCAAAAAAGCUAAAAAAAGCUGUAGAUAGUUUUAAAUUUACAUCAACACAGGAAUUAUUGAAUCUACUUAUUAGUGAUGCUAAAGAUAAUUCUUAUGAUAAAGAAAGUAAUAAAGAAGGAAGUAAAACAUGUGUUGAGGAUACUGUACAUAAACAACAUAAUGAACUUAAUAAGGAAAAGGGGAAUAGCACAAAAGAUAACAUUAUUAAAAAGAGCAAAAUUGGACAUGAUAAAAAGAUAAGUAGUAACUUAGAAAUGAUAGAUGAGAAGAAAGAAGGUAAAAGACAAGAUAAGGUACUACAAAAUGGAACAGAGAAAGAACAAAAAGUUAUUAAAGAAUUUGAUGAAAUUAAAAAGAACGACAAAGAAAGUGCGUUGUUAACUCAAAUGAAUAGUAGUAGCAUUUUAGGGAAAUACAUGAAUUAUAAUAAUAACAACAUUUUGAAUAGUAAUGGUAACAAAAAUUAUAGUAGCACUCAUUAUGGAAACAAUAAAUACGGUAACAACAAUUAUGGAAGCUGCAUUAACGGGGGCAAUGGUUUUAAUAACAAUAAUAUAAAUAUGAGAAGCUAUGGUAUGAAUAAUUAUAAUACUAUGGAUAAUUAUAGUAUGAACACGUACGGUAUGAACGCGUAUAGUAUGAAUAAUUACAGUUUGAAUAAUUAUAGUAUGAAUAAUUACAAUAGUUGUAACUAUAAUUAUAACAAUAGUUAUUAUAAUAAUAUUAAUAAUAUUAUGAAAAAUAGUUAUAGUGUUAAAGACAAGUUUUUAGCAGAUAAAAUUCUUCGUACUACUUCACGAAUAAAAACAUUAACUAACCUUAAGCAGUUUGAAAAUGCUUCCAAAUUAUUUAAGAGUAAAAACGCAUAUAACAUUAACAACACUACUAGUAGUAAGAAUAACAAUUUAAUGAACACUGAACAUAUGAAUUUAUAUGAUAAUAAAAACAUUUUAAAACUAUUGAGAAAUAGUAACAAUGGUAAUAAUACUAUGGAGAACAUUAAUAAAAAAGGAAAUAAGAAUAUUAAAAAAGCAAUCGAAAACGAACACAAAUAUGCACAUUAUGCUACAUCGCAUUACCCAACUUCUAUUACUACUUUAAAUAGUUUAAAUAAUACAUCAAAAGUAGAAUUAUCUAAAAGCGUAAGUAUAAAAGUUGGAGAUUCAAAACAAACUAAAAAAGAGGAAACAGGAAAUUUAUUUGCAGUUCCCUUAUAUAUGAGAUCACCUAAACCAGAACAAAUACCAAUACCAGUAUACCUAUCAGAAAUUGUUGAUGACGAUGUGAUUAAAGGGUUUCGAUCGGGAGUGGUAGAUGAUAAAAAUUAUAUGGCUCACAAUUGGGAAUUGAUUACGAAUACAAGCAAGAAUGUAGACAAUAUGAAUGCUACUGUUACAGCUACACCUGUUACACCAACGCCUGUCAUUACUACUAAUGUUACUACUACCAAUACUACUACUACUACUACUAAUAAUAAUAAUACUACUGCUACUACUACUACUACUACUACUAAUAAUAAUAAUAAUAACAAUGUCGGUAAUGAUACUAUAUACGACAAUACUAACAUAAGUUACAACAGCAUAUCUGGACUUAAGGAAAUCGGAUGCGGAAGAAUAUUUGAAGAUAAUUUAAUGAACAAAACAUAUAAAGACACCAAAACUAUAUAUUUUCAGAAUAUGAAAACAAAACAUUAUAAUAACAAAAUAUUAAAAGAUAACUCAGGUGUUUCAUAUAUGAUGAAUCAAGAAAAAAUGAAAAAUACUGCACCUUUACACUUUUUUUCAAACAAAGGCUUAGAACGUAAAAAAAACAAAAAAAAAAUAGAUUUAUUACAUAGAAACUAUACCCUUGGUAAUAAUAAUAAUAUUAUGUCUUACAAAUUAGAACAAAAUAAGAUGAAAUUAAAUUAUGACAUGUCAAAUAUGGGGAAAAUGAAAAAUAAUAAAAUAUAUAAUAAUAACAGUAAUAUUAAUAACACUAAUACUAAUAACAAUAUAGCACAGUCAUCAAUUUCUAACAUGAAAUUAUCACCAAAUCAUAAUAAUGGAAAUAAUCUAUAUAUUAAGAAUGGACACAAUUUCAAAGUUGAUAAAUAUUUUUAUUACAGGACUAACAAAAUUAAAACAUCUUAUAUGAAUGAAACUCAAAGAACAAAAUUUUUACCAUCUUUAAAAAAUGUGAAAAUAGCCGUAUAUUAAGUUAAAACUAUAUUAUGUCGGUCUUUGAUGUGCAUGUGCAUGUGCUCGCUUACACGCAUGUAUAGAUAUAUUCUUUUAUUAUUAUGUAAUUUUUUUUUUUGGAAAUAGGGCUCAGCUUUCCCAUAAUGUAUAAUAUAUUAUUAUAUAUAAAAAGUACCUAUAUUAU
Molecule: long non-coding RNA, 2574 nt
Organism: Piliocolobus tephrosceles (Ugandan red Colobus)
Lineage: Eukaryota; Metazoa; Chordata; Mammalia; Primates; Cercopithecidae
Source: Ensembl